Molecule: ribosomal RNA, 2192 nt
Filed under: Prochelator sp. VTDes115
Lineage: Eukaryota; Metazoa; Arthropoda; Malacostraca; Isopoda; Desmosomatidae
Description: SSU rRNA
Rfam family: Eukaryotic small subunit ribosomal RNA
Source: RNAcentral
UGCCAGUCAUAUGCUUGUCUCAAAGAUUAAGCCAUGCAUGUCUGAGUACAGACCGAUCUAAGGUGAAACCGCGAAUGGCUCAUUAAAUCAGUCAUAAUUCCUUGGAUAGUGAAAAACUUUCCUCGGAUAACUGUGGAAAAUCCAGAGCUAAUACGUGCAACUGAGCUCCGACCUUGACGCGAGUCUCGGGAAGAGCGCAUUUAUUAGAUUCAAAACUGUCCGAUGUAAUCCUUCGGGAUAUAUCGUUCUUAAAAUGUUUGAUGACUCCGGAUAACUUAGCCGAGCGCUACGGUCUUUAGUACCGGCGCCGUAUCUUUCAAGUGUCUGCCUUAUCAGCUUUCGAUUGUAGGUUAAACGCCUACAAUGGCUGUAACGGGUAACGGGGAAUCAGGGUUCGAUUCCGGAGAGGGAGCCUGAGAAAUGGCUACCACAUCUAAGGAAGGCAGCAGGCACGCAAAUUACCCACUCCCAGCCCGGGGAGGUAGUGACGAAAAAUAACGAUGCGAGACUCUUCCGAGGCCUCGCAAUCGGAAUGAGUCCAUUUUAAAUACUUGGACGAGGAUCCAUUGGAGGGCAAGUCUGGUGCCAGCAGCCGCGGUAAUUCCAGCUCUAAUAGCGUAUAUUAAAGUUGCUGCGGUUAAAAAGCUCGUAGUUGGACUUCCUAGAUCCAAUUCGCGGGUGAGUCGCUCUUCGUACUAGCGUCUCGAGCGGUUCCUCCUCGUUGACGUAGUUGCUCGCGAAUUCUUUCGGAUUUCGGCUUUCGGGUCGUUUUCUCGGGAGUUCCUCGCGUCUUCUGCAGAUACUUGCGUGGAAUUUCGAGGCGUUGUCUUAGAGUAUAGCUCGUCCGCGUUUGGUACAAUUAAAAAUUUGUCGGCUCGCUCGGAGUGCUCUUCACCGAGUGUUCCAGGGUGGCUGACACGUUCACUUUGAAAAAAUUAGAGUGCUUAAAGCGGGCUUAUUUACGGCCUGAAUGUCUGUGCAUGGAAUGAAGUAACAGGACCUCGAUUCUGUUCUUUUUGUCGGUUUUAAUGAACCGAGGUAAUGAUUAAAAGGGACAGACGGUGGCAUUAGUAUUGCGGCGCUAGAGGUGAAAUUCUUGGACCGUCGCAAGACUAACUACUGCGAAAGCAUUUGCCGAGAAUGUUUUCAUUAAUCAAGAACGAAAGUUAGAGGAUCGAAGGCGAUCAGAUACCGCCCUAGUUCUAACCCUAAACUAUGCUAACUAGCGAUCCGCCGGAGUCAUUCCCACGACCCGGCGGGAAGCCCCAGGGAAACCAAAGUCUUUGAGUUCCGGGGGAAGUAUGGUUGCAAAUCUGAAACUUAAAGGAAUUGACGGAAGGGCACCACCAGGAGUGGAGCCUGCGGCUUAAUUUGACUCAACACGGGAAACCUCACCAGGCCCGGACAUCAUAAGGAUUGACAGGUUGAGAGCUCUUUCUCGAUUUGAUGGGUGGUGGUGCAUGGCCGUUCUUAGUUGGUGGAGUGAUCUGUCUGGUUGAUUCCGAUAACGAACGAGACUCUACCCUACUAACUAGUCGGUGGAUCGUAACCCUGAGAUGGUUAGUUUGUAUAGGAUUGUUUCGCCUAAAGCGGGGCUCGAUCGAUAAGCGUAUUUAUCUUUUUCUAUCACGCUCUAGCUUUUGCGCGUGUCGAGGGUUUGGGGGGCGCGUGUGCUGUUUUUUCAGAAGAACGCUCACGAUGUUCUCCGGCUCUCGCGCGCGUGAUUGUUAAGGGUUGUCGAUGUUAAGGAGGUGCGGGGAUAGUUCGAAUACCUUCGCCGAAGCAACUUUCUGAUUACUGCUACUGCUGGGGGCGUCCGUCGCAAUGUAUCUUCUUAGAGGGAUCAGCGGCGUAUAGCCGCACGAGAAAGAGCAAUAACAGGUCUGUGAUGCCCUUAGAUGUUCUGGGCCGCACGCGCGCUACAAUGUAGGGUUCAGCGUGCUUUCCCUCUCCGAAAGGAGUGGGUAACCCGAUGAAACCCCUACCCGAUUGGGAUUGGGGAUUGCAAUUAUUUCCCAUAAACGAGGAAUUCCCAGUAAGCGCGAGUCAUCAGCUCGUGUUGAUUACGUCCCUGCCCUUUGUACACACCGCCCGUCGCUACUACCGAUUGAAUGAUUCAGUGAGGGCAUCGGACUGGCCCUUCGGUUUAGUAACCUAGACCUUAGGCUGACGGAAAGAUGUCCGAACUGAUC